RNAcentral lists this non-coding RNA (24 nucleotides) under Arabidopsis thaliana (thale cress). The record is from RNAcentral. Lineage: Eukaryota; Viridiplantae; Streptophyta; Magnoliopsida; Brassicales; Brassicaceae.
AGAAACCAGAACAUCCCAAUUGUG